AGACAAUAGAUACCCCGGUAGUCCACGCCCUAAACGAUGGAUACUAAGUAGGGGACCCCUGCAAGGGGGUUCCUUGCCGGAGCAAAAAAAAGCGUUAAAGUAUCCCGCCUGGGGAGUAUGGUCGCAAGGCUGAAACUCAAAAGAAUUGACGGGGGCUCACACAAGCGGUGGAGCAUGUUGCUUAAAUUCGAUGCAACGCGAAGAACCUUACCCGGGCUCGAAGUGUACGGAUUAGCUCUAUGAAAGUAGAGUGACACCUUAACCGGUGGAACGUAUAAAGGUGUUGCAUGGCUGUCGUCAGCUCGUGUCGUGAGAUGUCGGGUUAAGUCCCUUAACGAGCGAAACCCCUGUCCUUAGUUGCCAUCGGGUCAUGCCGGGAACGUCUAGGGAGGACUGCCGGUGUUAAACCGGUAAGGAAGGUGGGGAGUGACGUCAAGUCAUCAUGG
RNAcentral lists this ribosomal RNA (446 nucleotides) under uncultured bacterium. RNAcentral describes it as "bacterial SSU rRNA". It matches the Rfam family "Bacterial small subunit ribosomal RNA", at positions 775 to 1198 of the family's 1533-position model. The record is from RNAcentral.